GAAUGGAAAUUCAAAGCACCCUCUGUCCGGCUAGUGAAGACGACGACAACGAUGUAAAUCUUCACAAAAGUAGACAAAACCCAAAUGCGGUCUCCUCACGUCCAUUGCAUGAAUCCGGUCACCGCCUCGCCCUGAGCUCCAGCCGUGCCGAGCGGCGGAGGAUCGAUGGGUGCCGUCACCUUCCAUCCCAUCUCCUUCUCCGCCUCCCCCGCUCUUAGCCCCAGAAGCCACCACCAGCGAGCAUUCUUCUCCCCUUCUUCUUCUUCUUCUUCUUCUUCUUGGCUCGAGCUCGUGGGGAAUCGGCGGAUUCUUCUCUCACCGGGGCGUCUGGCUGUUCGAUUUCGUCCUCUGCAGGCGGCGAUUUCGGCCCGAAGAGAAGAAAUAUUCGACACUGAGCUGCGGUCUGUGCUUGAACUUGCUACUGAUGAUGAAUUGUACGAGCUGGAAAGCAUUCUCUUUGGGCCGAGCUACUUCAGUCCCUUGCUAAAAUCAUUUACAAGUAGAGAACAUGCUGAUUUUCUUAUGGGUGGAGAGGCUAUUGAGGAACGAGAAGAUUUUAUAGCACAUUUAGAGUCAAGAUUCUUGUACCUUGCAGCAGAUGCCCGUUCAACAUUGCGGGGUUGGAGACCAUCUUACAGAAAUGUCUUACUUGAUGUGAGAAGAAAACUGGGUAUUCCAUGUUCAAAAAAAUUGUCAGCAGAAGACCUUGAAGUUGAAAUUUUUCUUCACAUGUUGAAUGAAUAUUCAAGCAAGGAGGUGGGCACUAUUUCUUUUCCAUGGGAUGGCAGCAAACAUUCAAAUGGUCAUGGAAGUCUUGAAGUUGGACUCAGCCAGUGGAAGGUGCAUGCCUUUCCUGCAUUGAGAUUUGGGGCAAAAGAACUCCAGCAAAUAUUUCUGAAGGGUGGUGGCAUGUUAGGUGUGGCAAAGAUUUAUGAAACGUUAGCUCAGAGACUAUCUGGAAAGAUGCUACUGGAGGCUGCAAACUAUGAGAUAAAGCAUGAAAUUGUAAAACAGGGUGGACAACUAGUAGCUGUUGGCCUGGAGUCAAGGGCAGCUGCAAUUGCUGCAAGACAGGGCUUGGCUCGUGCUGCAACACGGUAUCUUGGGCUGAAGAGUUUUAUGAUGUUACUUGGGCCACUGAUGUGGGGUACAUUUCUGGCGGACAUCAUUAUUCAAAUGCUUGGCACUGAUUAUGCUCGGGUUCUGCGGGCAAUCUACGCAUUUGCUCAGAUCCGCCUUACACGAACAUAUGGCUGGACUUCCAAACAAUGAGUGAUGAGUUGAUGAUUUUCUAUUUUUGCAUAUCAAUGUCUUGUCUGCCUUGUUUAGAUCAGCACAUAUCGGAUUGGUUGAAGCUGCCUUUAGGAUGUUCUUUGUGGUGGCACUGCCCCUUUUGCAGCUCCGAAGCUCUCUAUCCAGAGAAUGCAGUGGUAGCAUGCUUUGGGUUAUAUACGAGUCACCUUCUUUCAAGAUCAUGUUGUGCAUGAAAUGCAAAGCAUUCUUCGCAUGCCUCUGUAGCAAGCUUGGGAAAGUAUGAUCGGGUGGAAUAAUCCUCUGAUCCUUUUCCAUCUUGUAAUAAGAAGUGGCCCUUCUAAAUUGUACAUGACCGAAGGCGAGAGGAAAUCGGGUUGGGCAACGAACAAGGAAGGAUUUAAGAGCUGAUCUUAUAAUUCUGUAAUAUUCUCGAUUCAUUUUGGUACGUUUGAAAGGCCAGUGAUCAUUCAAGUGAUUGGCCAGCAGACCAUUUCAUGAACAUCUCCUGUACAUAUGAGAAAUAGGCGUAAAUUAGCUGAUAUUACUGAUGCACAUUUUUCCAGACCUGUCAUCAUAAAGCCAGGAAAGUAGGUUGUACCAACUUGCCGCACUUAUGCUUUUACCUAAAAUUUGCCGUAUCAGUCG
RNA transcript from Phoenix dactylifera (date palm), 1899 nucleotides. RefSeq lists it as uncharacterized. Lineage: Eukaryota; Viridiplantae; Streptophyta; Magnoliopsida; Arecales; Arecaceae. The record is from RefSeq and is a predicted model, not a curated record.